RNAcentral lists this ribosomal RNA (396 nucleotides) under uncultured bacterium. Its description in RNAcentral is "partial 16S ribosomal RNA". It matches the Rfam family "Bacterial small subunit ribosomal RNA", at positions 523 to 918 of the family's 1533-position model. The record is from RNAcentral.
AUACGUAGGGAGCGAGCGUUGUCCGGAAUUACUGGGUGUAAAGGGAGCGUAGGCGGGAGUGCAAGUCAGAUGUGAAAUACAUGGGCUCAACCCAUGGGCUGCAUUUGAAACUGCAUUUCUUGAGUGAAGUAGAGGUAAGCGGAAUUCCUGGUGUAGCGGUGAAAUGCGUAGAUAUCAGGAGGAACACCGGUGGCGAAGGCGGCUUACUGGGCUUUUACUGACGCUGAGGCUCGAAAGCGUGGGGAGCAAACAGGAUUAGAUACCCUGGUAGUCCACGCUGUAAACGAUGAUUACUAGGUGUGGGGGGACUGACCCCUUCCGUGCCGCAGUUAACACAAUAAGUAAUCCACCUGGGGAGUACGGCCGCAGGGUUGAAACUCAAAUGAAUUGACGGGG